Molecule: ribosomal RNA, 253 nt
Filed under: uncultured bacterium
Lineage: Bacteria
Description: partial 16S ribosomal RNA
Rfam family: Bacterial small subunit ribosomal RNA
Source: RNAcentral
UACGAAGGGUGCAAGCGUUAAUCGGAAUUACUGGGCGUAAAGCGUGCGUAAGUGGUCUUUUAAGUCCGUUGUGAAAGCCCUGGGCUCAACCUGGGAAUGGCAGUGGAUACUGGAAGGCUGGAGUACGGUAGAGGAGGGUGGAAUUCCCGGUGUAGCGGUGAAAUGCGUAGAGAUCGGGAGGAACAUCAGUGGCGAAGGCGGCCCUCUGGACCAGUACUGACGCUGAGGCACGAAAGCGUGGGGAGCAAACAGG